Molecule: ribosomal RNA, 322 nt
Filed under: uncultured bacterium
Lineage: Bacteria
Description: bacterial SSU rRNA
Rfam family: Bacterial small subunit ribosomal RNA
Source: RNAcentral
AUUGAACGCUGGCGGCAUGCCUUACACAUGCAAGUCGAACGGUAACGGGCCUUCGGGUGCCGACGAGUGGCGAACGGGUGAGUAAUGUAUCGGAACGUACCUUUCAGUGGGGGAUAACGUAGCGAAAGUUACGCUAAUACCGCAUAUUCUGUGAGCAGGAAAGCAGGGGAUCGCAAGACCUUGCGCUGAUUGAGCGGCCGAUAUCAGAUUAGCUAGUUGGUGAGGUAAAGGCUCACCAAGGCGACGAUCUGUAGCGGGUCUGAGAGGAUGAUCCGCCACACUGGAACUGAGACACGGUCCAGACUCCUACGGGAGGCAGCAG